Neopsephotus bourkii (Bourke's parrot) is the source of this 435-nucleotide long non-coding RNA. RefSeq lists it as uncharacterized. The record is from RefSeq and is a predicted model, not a curated record. Lineage: Eukaryota; Metazoa; Chordata; Aves; Psittaciformes; Psittacidae. The transcript is spliced from 2 exons.
AAUACUUUGACAGUGGAUCCAAGCCCUCACAAGACUCUCUGGGUUAUGCUGACAACUUGAUUUUCCUGAUGAUCUUUGAUUUUACUGCCCUUAUUUGUUUUACAAGGUAAAUUUGGCAAUGAAACCAUCGGAUGUUUAAAAAGAGCACAGAUGGAAUGGAUCCAUAGGAGUUUUCUGGCUCCUGGACAGCAAAGCAUCAGACAAAUGCAAGUGAUGGGCUACAGUCAUUGACAUCAUUCAAAUCCUUCCCACUGUGCUGAUGAGGCAAUAAAUAAAGUGUGCUGCAGAAUCUCAUCCCCACGGCCUUACAUCAGCUUUUACUAGAGCACUCUGAAACAUUUGGCUUCAGGACUUCAUUAUUUUUUCAUUUCUUUUGGAUCCUAAGCAUCAUCUAACUGUAUCUGAACCAAUAAGCAUAUAGACCAGUAAGCUACA